CUGAGUCAAGGAGAGGAGAAAUGGUAGAGGGAGGAUUUGAACCUACAGUCUGGCCCCAUCGAUGCUACUGAAAAGAAAGUUUGCUUCUAGAAGCCGUAUUAUAUGCAAAUAUAAAGGAUAAACUUCAUACUGCUUAUGGAAUUUAGAUGGAAAGCACCUAGCCAGCAAGGUGCUUAUGGUGGCUGCUCUACUGGACUGCAGUGAAUGACGACCAUAAGGAAUGCCAUACCUGCCUACCAUCCCUUACUGGACCUGAGCAUGAGUGGGAAAUAAAGUCACUGAAAUCUAGGGGUUGUUUGUUUCUGCAGUAUAAUCUAGACUACUCUGAUUAAAAGUAGGGAGGAAAAAAGAUAUAAAUAAUUGCAAGGCACAUCGAAGCA
This is a long non-coding RNA of Capra hircus (goat), 380 nucleotides long. RefSeq lists it as uncharacterized. The record is from RefSeq and is a predicted model, not a curated record. Lineage: Eukaryota; Metazoa; Chordata; Mammalia; Artiodactyla; Bovidae. The transcript is spliced from 2 exons.